Molecule: transfer RNA, 73 nt
Filed under: Tissierellia bacterium
Lineage: Bacteria; Bacillati; Bacillota; Tissierellia
Description: tRNA-Thr
Rfam family: tRNA
About the family: Transfer RNA (tRNA) molecules are approximately 80 nucleotides in length. Their secondary structure includes four short double-helical elements and three loops (D, anti-codon, and T loops).
Source: RNAcentral
GCUACCGUGGCUCAGUUGGCAGAGCAGGUGUUUCGUAAACUCCAGGUCGGGGGUUCGACUCCCUUCGGUAGCU